GCCAGUGUGGCAUAGUGGUUCGAGUGCUGGAAUAUAACUCUGGAGACCAGGGUUCAAACCCCUGCUCAGCCA
This is a non-coding RNA of Phrynosoma platyrhinos (Desert horned lizard), 72 nucleotides long. Lineage: Eukaryota; Metazoa; Chordata; Lepidosauria; Squamata; Phrynosomatidae. The record is from the annotation of a GenBank genome assembly.